GACGAACGCUGGCGGCGUGCCUAAUACAUGCCAGUCGAACGCACAGUUUAUACCGUAGCUUGCUACACCAUAGACUGUGAGUUGCGAACGGGUGAGUAACGCGUAGGUAACCUGCCUGGUAGCGGGGGAUAACUAUUGGAAACGAUAGCUAAUACCGCAUAAUAUUAAUUAUUGCAUGAUAAUUAAUUGAAAGGUGCAAUUGCACCACUACCAGAUGGACCUGCGUUGUAUUAGCUAGUAGGUGAGGUAACGGCUCACCUAGGCGACGAUGCAUAGCCGACCUGAGAGGGGGAUCGGCCACACUGGGACUGAGACACGGCCCAGACUCCUACGGGAGGCAGCAGUAGGGAAUCUUCGGCAAUGGACGAAAGUCUGACCGAGCAACGCCGCGUGAGUGAAGAAGGGUGUCGGAUCGUAAAGCUCUGUUGUAAGAGAAGAACGGGUGUGAGAGUGGAAAGUUCACACUGUGACGGUAGCUUACCAGAAAGGGACGGCUAACUACGUG
RNAcentral lists this ribosomal RNA (505 nucleotides) under uncultured bacterium. RNAcentral describes it as "partial 16S ribosomal RNA". It matches the Rfam family "Bacterial small subunit ribosomal RNA", at positions 28 to 507 of the family's 1533-position model. The record is from RNAcentral.